UCAGUCGAUCAUUGCUGAGCAUCGUGAC
This 28-nucleotide small RNA is filed under the name Bombyx mori (domestic silkworm). RNAcentral's name for it is "ovarian small RNA-7004". Lineage: Eukaryota; Metazoa; Arthropoda; Insecta; Lepidoptera; Bombycidae. The record is from RNAcentral.